Molecule: ribosomal RNA, 465 nt
Filed under: uncultured bacterium
Lineage: Bacteria
Description: partial 16S ribosomal RNA
Rfam family: Bacterial small subunit ribosomal RNA
Source: RNAcentral
CUACGGGUGGCAGCAGUGAGGAAUUUUGCGCAAUGGGGGCAACCCUGACGCAGCAACGCCGCGUGAGUGAAGAAGGCCCUUGGGUCGUAAAGCUCUGUCAAUGGGGAAGAAGUUACUUGGUAUUAAUAGUGCCUUGUAUUGACGGUACCCAUGAAGGAAGCACCGGCUAACUCCGUGCCAGCAGCCGCGGUAAUACGGGGGGUGCAAGCGUUAUUCGGAAUUAUUGGGCGUAAAGGGCACGCAGGCGGUCCUGUCAGUCAGAUGUGAAAGCCCGGGGCUCAACCCCGGACGUGCAUUUGAAACAGCAGGACUUGAGUACGGGAGAGGAAAGGGGAAUUCCUGGUGUAGAGGUGAAAUUCGUAGAUAUCAGGAGGAACACCGGUGGCGAAGGCGCCUUUCUGGACCGAUACUGACGCUGAGGUGCGAAGGCGUGGGUAGCGAACGGGAUUAGAUACCCGAGUAGUC